GGCACUGUAGCUUAGAGGGUCAAAGCGUCAGUUUUGUAAACUGAAGAUUCUGGGUUCAAAUCCCAGCGGUACCU
Nematolebias whitei (Rio pearlfish) is the source of this 74-nucleotide non-coding RNA. Lineage: Eukaryota; Metazoa; Chordata; Actinopteri; Cyprinodontiformes; Rivulidae. The record is from the annotation of a RefSeq genome assembly.